ACAGCAGCCGCCACGGGAACACCGAGGGUGCAAGCGUUAAUCGGAAUUACUGGGCGUAAAGCACGCGUAGGUGGUUUGUUAAGUUGGAUGUGAAAGCCCCGGGCUCAACCUGGGAACUGCAUUUGAAACUGUCAGGCUGGAGUCUUGUAGAGGGGGGUGGAAUUCCAGGUGUAGCGGUGAAAUGCGUAGAGAUCUGGAGGAAUACCGGUGGCGAAGGCGGCCCCCUGGACAAAGACUGACGCUCAGGUGCGAAAGCGUGGGGAGCAAACAGGAUUAGAUACCCGAGUAGUCCCUGUCUCUUAUAC
RNAcentral lists this ribosomal RNA (305 nucleotides) under uncultured bacterium. RNAcentral describes it as "partial 16S ribosomal RNA". It matches the Rfam family "Bacterial small subunit ribosomal RNA", at positions 508 to 807 of the family's 1533-position model. The record is from RNAcentral.